UUAUUCUCGAUGCUAACGUCACGUUAGUGACGUCAUCACCCGCUUUUAUCGUUCUCAUGGUUCAUGGUUAUGCACACUUUCAGCUUCAAAUAAUUAAUCGCCUUUGUCGUCCGUAAAACACAUGCGCGGAACCCCGCGUAAUUAAAUUACUAGUAAAACGUGUUCCGCGCAUGUGUUCUAAUGUCACUUUUGACCAGAUAUCGUUCUCCUAUUUUUCGUUAACUUUGAACCUCUCUCACUCAGCAUAGAAAAUAUAUUAGCACUAUUCUUAUUCUCACUCAUGGUGACAGCUUGAAAGAGUAAUGAUGAGCUUAUUAUAGAGGAUGUUGAUGGAGUGGUGGGGGGUUGAUAAUCCAGGAUAUUCUCGGUCGUUGAUGAGGGUGGUGGGUUUUAAAAGUCUAUCGGAAUUCCCGGACGUUAAUCGGUUCAACAGUCUGUCAGAGUUGCAAAUUCCAUGAAUUCAUGAUUCCAAAGUUUUUCACAGCCUGUUGCAGUAGAUCUCUUUGAGCCUGGAUGAAGUCCCUGAGCAUCUGCGUCACCUUCUUCCUGUCGUCCAUUUCGCUGGCCAGCCGCGAGUUGUAGUCGGUCAACAGCGCCACCGCCUCAUUCACCUCAAUUGACAGCCUUUCUGCAGCUGCCUUAUCUACAUCAACAUCAAUGCAAAACUCAUCAAUUUAUAUAAUAGUUAUGUAACAAUUAAAAAAUCAAAGUACA
Long non-coding RNA from Nilaparvata lugens (brown planthopper), 714 nucleotides. RefSeq lists it as uncharacterized. The record is from RefSeq and is a predicted model, not a curated record. The transcript is spliced from 2 exons. NCBI's taxonomy places the organism in Eukaryota, Metazoa, Arthropoda, Insecta, Hemiptera, Delphacidae.